Molecule: long non-coding RNA, 632 nt
Organism: Eriocheir sinensis (Chinese mitten crab)
Lineage: Eukaryota; Metazoa; Arthropoda; Malacostraca; Decapoda; Varunidae
Exons: 3
Source: RefSeq, a predicted model, not a curated record
UCAUCCAAGAGAAUGUGGUAGCUGAAGGGGAGAGUCCAAGAAAGAGGCCAAGGGUGAAGACAUUUAGCCACCCCCUGAAGUACAUGGCAGCAUCCAACCCUCUUGGUGAGCUGCAGGAAUGUGCUCCCCAUUGCAGUGCACCAGCUCCAUGUACUGAUUUUGGGUGUGAACUUGAUGGCGUUGAAGGAAACUCGACUCGGCCAUCAAGCUCACCACAAUAUAACAAGAAAAGUGAAAAUUGCUGCACACAACAGUCUGCCGUCUGCGCCGGGAGGCAAGGCAGCUCAAACCCCAGGCUGUUACAACUCCUGGGCAGUUUUUGCCCAGAGCCAGCAAUUUUUUAGAUCCAAUAGGGAUGGAUUUUUUUCUGAGGUCAGGUUCAACAUGCUGCAAGAUGCCAAGAUCUAAGCCUAGUAGGAGAUAUGGGUUACAAGAGAGGAGGUUUGCUCUGGCCUUAUACUAUCAAAGUCCAAAUGCUAAUAGAUUUCUGAGCACAGUAUUUCACUUGCCUUCAGUUUCAACACUUCACUCAUGACUCAGGGGUAUUUCAGUACAUGUUGGCUGGAGCAAACAGACUCUGACAGCCCUGCAGCAAAGAGCACAGGCUUUGUCAAAAGAAGAAAAACUUUGUG